GGAGAGGUGCUGGAGUGGUCUAUCAGGCACGCCUGGAAAGCGUGUGUCGCCGCAAGGUGACCGUGGGUUCGAAUCCCACCUUCUCCGCCA
Molecule: transfer RNA, 90 nt
Filed under: Dehalococcoides mccartyi
Lineage: Bacteria; Bacillati; Chloroflexota; Dehalococcoidia; Dehalococcoidales; Dehalococcoidaceae
Also listed under: 16 other names
Description: tRNA-Ser
Rfam family: tRNA
About the family: Transfer RNA (tRNA) molecules are approximately 80 nucleotides in length. Their secondary structure includes four short double-helical elements and three loops (D, anti-codon, and T loops).
Source: RNAcentral